CUGACAGCCUGGAGACUGAAGGCCUUUGUUUAUCCACAGAACAGGGAAAUCACAGCCCGCAACAGGGCAAACUCCCCUUUCCACCUCCUUGCCAUUCCCUGUUUAAUGUGCCUCAAACAUAACCCGGAGGAACCACUUCUAGGGGAAUUCGGUCUCCAGGCCCAUCCAAUCCUUAACCUCC
RNAcentral lists this small RNA (181 nucleotides) under Chrysemys picta bellii (western painted turtle). Its description in RNAcentral is "TUC338 (ENSCPBG00000014840.1)". Lineage: Eukaryota; Metazoa; Chordata; Testudines; Emydidae. The record is from RNAcentral.